GCCGGCCUAGCUCAAUUGGUAGAGCAACUGACUUGUAAUCAGUAGGUUGGGGUUUCAAGCCCUCUGGCCGGCACCA
RNAcentral lists this transfer RNA (76 nucleotides) under Staphylococcus aureus. RNAcentral describes it as "tRNA-Thr(tgt)". It matches the Rfam family "tRNA". Rfam says of the family: Transfer RNA (tRNA) molecules are approximately 80 nucleotides in length. The record is from RNAcentral. Lineage: Bacteria; Bacillati; Bacillota; Bacilli; Caryophanales; Staphylococcaceae.